RNAcentral lists this small nuclear RNA (162 nucleotides) under Dermacentor andersoni. RNAcentral describes it as "U1 spliceosomal RNA". It matches the Rfam family "U1 spliceosomal RNA". Rfam says of the family: U1 is a small nuclear RNA (snRNA) component of the spliceosome (involved in pre-mRNA splicing). Its 5' end forms complementary base pairs with the 5' splice junction, thus defining the 5' donor site of an intron. Lineage: Eukaryota; Metazoa; Arthropoda; Arachnida; Ixodida; Ixodidae. The record is from RNAcentral.
AUACUUACCUGGUGCUGGGUUGGCGGUGAUCAUCGAGGCCGCGGACCCGUGCCGAGGCCUCUCCAUUGCACUACUGUUGGCUGAAGCACGCCACUUCCUCAAGUCGGGGUAGCUGGAGCAUGCAAUUUCUGGUAGUGGUGCUAGGCGUACGCGCCAGCCCUC